UGGGCAGAAUCAUAUGGAGCAGUUUGGCAGGCUCCAUCCACCUCUCCCAUGAGCACUUGCUUCAGUUCUUGAUGCAACGCCGUCAGCUGUCCCUCGGGUGCAGCGUCCCUGCCUCGUGCACCGUCCUUACAAGACGAGGUGUAGAUGGGGUGAGCGGAGGGAAGUCGGUCAUCGGUCCUGCACUUGUGAGCUGAAAUACCUGCUGAGCACUGGACUUGUCCUUGGUACUGUGUUGGGCUGUGGUCUAAGACACUACUUCGAUGAACCGCCUGAGAAACAGGGACAAAGCGCCAUUAAACCUGCCAGCUGUGCCUCAAAUUCCUGUAUGGAAACUCAGUCAUUAGCUCUUCAUGUGAACCUGUUUGGCUGCAAAUGA
This 376-nucleotide long non-coding RNA is filed under the name Fukomys damarensis (Damara mole-rat). RNAcentral's name for it is "lncRNA (ENSFDAG00000022288.1)". Lineage: Eukaryota; Metazoa; Chordata; Mammalia; Rodentia; Bathyergidae. The record is from RNAcentral.